AGGCCUACCAUGGUGGUAACGGGUAACGGGGUGUUAGGGCACGACACCGGAGAGGGAGCCUGAGAAACGGCUACCACAUCCAAGGAUGGCAGCAGGCGCGCAAAUUACCCAAUCCCGACACGGGGAGGUAGUGACAAUAAAUAACAAUACGGGGUUCUUUCGGAUCUCGUAAUUGGAAUGAGUACAAUUUAAAUCUCUUAACGAGGAACAAUUGGAGGGCAAGUCUGGUGCCAGCAGCCGCGGUAAUUCCAGCUCCAAUAGCGUAUAUUAAAGUUGUUGCAGUUAAAAAGCUCGUAGUUGAAUUUCGGGGUUAGUAGGUUGGUCAUGCCUCUGGUAUGUACUGAUCUCACUGAUUCCUCCUUCCUGAUGAACCGUAAUGCCAUUAAUUUGGUGUUGCGGGGAAUUUGGACUGUUACUUUGAAAAAAUUAGAGUGUUUAAAGCAAGCUAACGCUUGAAUACAUUAGCAUGGAAUAAUGAAAUAGGACGUUCGAUCCUAUUUUGUUGGUUUCUAGGAUUGACGUAAUGAUUAAUAGGGAUAGUUGGGGGCAUUAGUAUUCAAUUGUCAGAGGUGAAAUUCUUGGAUUUAUUGAAGACUAACUACUGCGAAAGCAUUUGCCAAGGAUGUUUUCAUUAAUCAAGAACGAAAGUUAGGGGAUCGAAGACGAUCAGAUACCGUCGUAGUCUUAACCAUAAACUAUGCCGACUAGGGAUCGGAUGAUGUAAUUUU
Molecule: ribosomal RNA, 728 nt
Filed under: uncultured fungus
Lineage: Eukaryota; Fungi
Description: SSU rRNA
Rfam family: Eukaryotic small subunit ribosomal RNA
Source: RNAcentral